UGUCAAUUGCUUAGGGUGUAUUUGGUUACAUUGUAGCUUUCUUGUUUUUGGUUUAACAAAAACAACAAACUGUUUCCUACUUUUUUUUUUUUAAGAAAACCACUGCAAAUCUUCUCUUUCCUCCAUUCUUGUUUAUUCUGCUUGCCUUCUAUCUACUGACAUUAAAUCAACACCUUAUCAUUUUUUAUUCAUUUUUUAACCUCUUUCACUUCAUCUUUUCACAACAAAUUAAAGCCACUCAAAACUAAAAAAUAAAAAUUAAUCCAACUAUUUCCCAAAAUGUUCAGACGUCAUGAAUCAAAUGCUCCAGUAUGGAAAUGAGAUA
This 325-nucleotide unclassified non-coding RNA is filed under the name Hevea brasiliensis (rubber tree). Lineage: Eukaryota; Viridiplantae; Streptophyta; Magnoliopsida; Malpighiales; Euphorbiaceae. The record is from RNAcentral.